UACAGAGGGUGCAAACGUUGUUCGGAUUUACUGGGCGUAAAGCGCGUGUAGGCGGCAAUACAAGUCGGAUGUGAAAUCCCGCGGCUUAACCGUGGAAGUGCACCCGAAACUGUAUCGCUAGAGUCCCGGAGAGGAUGGUGGAAUACUUGGUGUAGAGGUGAAAUUCGUAGAUAUCAAGUGGAACACCGGUGGCGAAGGCGGCCAUCUGGACGGUGACUGACGCUGAGACGCGAAAGCGUGGGUAGCAAACAGG
Molecule: ribosomal RNA, 253 nt
Filed under: uncultured bacterium
Lineage: Bacteria
Description: partial 16S ribosomal RNA
Rfam family: Bacterial small subunit ribosomal RNA
Source: RNAcentral